GACGAACGCUGGCGGCGUGCCUAAUACAUGCAAGUCGAGCGAAGUUUUUCUGGUGCUUGCACUAGAAAAAAUUAGCGGCGAACGGGUGAGUAACACGUAAAGAACCUGCCUCAUAGACUGGGACAACUAUUGGAAACGAUAGCUAAUACCGGAUAACAGUAUUUCUCGCAUGAGAGAUAUUUAAAAGUUGGUUAUGCUAACACUAUGGGAUGGCUUUGCGGUGCAUUAGCUAGUUGGUGGGGUAAAGGCCCACCAAGGCGACGAUGCAUAGCCGACCUGAGAGGGUGAUCGGCCACACUGGGACUGAGACACGGCCCAGACUCCUACGGGAGGCAGCAGUAGGGAAUCUUCCGCAAUGGGCGAAAGCCUGACGGAGCAACGCCGCGUGAGUGAAGAAGGAUUUCGGUUCGUAAAGCUCUGUUGUUAGGGAAGAAUGGAUAUGUAGUAACUAUACAUGUAAGAGACGGUACCUAACCAGAAAGCCACGGCUAACUACGUG
RNAcentral lists this ribosomal RNA (499 nucleotides) under uncultured bacterium. RNAcentral describes it as "partial 16S ribosomal RNA". It matches the Rfam family "Bacterial small subunit ribosomal RNA", at positions 28 to 507 of the family's 1533-position model. The record is from RNAcentral.